This 707-nucleotide ribosomal RNA is filed under the name alpha proteobacterium SY205. RNAcentral's name for it is "bacterial SSU rRNA". It matches the Rfam family "Bacterial small subunit ribosomal RNA", at positions 65 to 816 of the family's 1533-position model. The record is from RNAcentral. Lineage: Bacteria; Pseudomonadati; Pseudomonadota; Alphaproteobacteria.
AGCGAGACCUUCGGGUCUAGCGGCGGANGGGUUAGUAACGCGUGGGAACGUACCCUUUUCUAAGGAAUAGCCACUGGAAACGGUGAGUAAUGCCUUAUACGCCCUUCGGGGGAAAGAUUUAUCGGAGAAGGAUCGGCCCGCGUUAGAUUAGAUAGUUGGUGGGGUAAUGGCCUACCNANGUCUACGAUCUAUAGCUGGUUUGAGAGGAUGAUCAGCAACACUGGGACUGAGACACGGCCCAGACUCCUACGGGAGGCAGCAGUGGGGAAUCUUAGACAAUGGGCGCAAGCCUGAUCUAGCCAUGCCGCGUGAGUGAUGAAGGCCUUAGGGUCGUAAAGCUCUUUCGCCUGUGAAGAUAAUGACUGUAGCAGGUAAAGAAACCCCGGCUAACUCCGUGCCAGCAGCCGCGGUAAUACGGAGGGGGUUAGCGUUGUUCGGAAUUACUGGGCGUAAAGCGCGCGUAGGCGGACAUUUAAGUCAGAGGUGAAAUCCCAGGGCUCAACCCUGGAACUGCCUUUGAUACUGGGGUGUCUUGAGUUCGAGAGAGGUGAGUGGAAUUCCGAGUGUAGAGGUGAAAUUCGUAGAUAUUCGGAGGAACACCAGUGGCGAAGGCGGCUCACUGGCUCGAUACUGACGCUGAGGUGCGAAAGUGUGGGGAGCAAACAGGAUUAGAUACCCUGGUAGUCCACACCGUAAACGAUGAAUGC